RNAcentral lists this ribosomal RNA (2320 nucleotides) under Boseongicola sp. RNAcentral describes it as "partial 23S ribosomal RNA". It matches the Rfam family "Bacterial large subunit ribosomal RNA", at positions 1 to 2408 of the family's 2925-position model. The record is from RNAcentral. Lineage: Bacteria; Pseudomonadati; Pseudomonadota; Alphaproteobacteria; Rhodobacterales; Paracoccaceae.
GGUCAAGCAGAAAAGGGCAUAUGGGGGAUGUCUUGGCGCUGAAAGCAAGGGCGUGGAAGGCUGCGAUAAGCCUGGGGUAGCUGUCAAACGAGCAUUGAUCCCGGGAUUCCCUGUCAACCCAGUGAACUGAAACAUCUCAGUAACUGGAGGAAUAGAAAGUAAAAACGAUUCCCUUAGUAGCGGCGAGCGAAACGGGAACAGCCUAAACCUCAGAGCAUGCUCUGGGGGGUUGCGGGACACUCAUACGUCGAUCUGUCUGUCAGGAAAAGUCCAUGGAAAGGGGCACCAGAGAAGGUGACAGUCCUGUAUCCGAAGACGCGACAGUGAAGCAGAGUGCACCCAAGUAGGGCCAGUCACGUGAAACCUGGCCUGAAUCCGGGAGGCCCACCUCCUAAGGCUAAAUACUCUUCAGCGACCGAUAGUGAAUCAGUAGCGCGAGCGAAUGAUGAAAAGAACCCCGACAAGGGGAGUUCAAAGAACCUGAAACCAUGUGCCUACAAGCGGUCAGAGCACCUUAUGUGUGUGAUGGCGUGCCUUUUGCAUAAUGACCCGGCGAGUUACCGUUAUCAGCAGGUUAAGGCCUUAAGGGCUGCAGCCAGAGGGAAACCGAGUCUGAACAGGGCGUACGUUGUUGGCGGUAGACGCGAAACCUGGUGAUCUACCCAUGGGCAGGUUGAAGCGCGGGUAAGACUGCGUGGAGGACCGAACCCACUUGUGUUGAAAAAUGAGGGGAUGACCUGUGGGGAGGAGUAAAAGUCUAAUCAAACCAGGAGAUAGCUCGUUCUCUUCGAAAUAGCUUUAGGGCUAGCCUUGAGCCACUAUGCAUCGGGGGUAGAGACACUGAUUUCGACUGGGGCCCUCCAAGGGUACCCACCGUGACCAAACUCCGAAUACCGAUGUAACUAUCUCAGGAGUCAGUCGGCGGGGGAUAAGCUCCGUCGUCGAGAGGGAAACAACCCAGAUCGCCUGCUAAGGUCCCAGAACUACACUGAGUCACAAAGGAUGUUUAAAUACUGUGACAGCCGGGAUGUUGGCUUAGAAGCAGCCACCAUUUAAAAAGUGCGUAAUAGCUUACCGGUCGAGUAUUUCUGCACCGAUAAUGACCGGGAGUAAGUGUAGUGCCGAAGCAGCGGGCCCCUUUGGGGGCGAUAGAAGAGCGUUCCACGCCAGAUACGAGCCGUACCGGAAGGAGCGGUGAAGGGGUGUGGAAGUGAUUAUGCCGGGAUGAGUAACGAUAAAGCAGGUGAGAAUCCUGCUCGCCGUAAGCCUAAGGUUUCCUGGGGAAGGUAAAUCCGCCCAGGGUUAGCCGGUCCCUUAGUCAAGGCCGAAAGGCGUAGACGAUGGAAAGCGGGUUAAUAUUCCUGCGCCACCUCUGCUCUUGUCCGAUGGGAGGACGUUGAGUGAAUCGUGAUCAGGCGGUUGGAAGUGCCUGUAGGGCAGUUCAACGCAGGGGAUGUUAAAUGCACCCCGGACGUGGAGAGCUGAACUCGAGUCCUAAGAUGACGAAGUCAUGUGAAUCUUAACCAAGAAAAGUCCCUAGGUGAGUAUGUGACCGUACUAAAACUGACACAGGUAGGCGAGGCGCGUAGCCUCAGGCGCUCGGGAGAAUACUGUUUAAGGAACUCUGCAAAAUGGCCCCGUAACUUCGGGAUAAGGGGUGCCUCUGGAGGUUCACGCUUCUGGAGGCCACAGUAAAUCGGCUUCAUCGACUGUUUACUAAAAACACAGGACCCUGCGAACUCGCAAGAGGAUGUAUAGGGUCUGACGCCUGCUCGGUGCCGGUAAGUUAAGGAAGGGGGUUAUCCUUUGGGAGAAGCUCACAACCGAAGCUCCGGUAAACGGCGGCCGUAACUAUGACGGUCCUAAGGUAGCGAAAUUCCUUGUCGGGUAAGUUCCGACCUGCAUGAAUGGCGUAACGACUUCCCCACUGUCUCCAACAUCUGCUCAGCGAAGUUGAAUUCCCCGUGAAGAUGCGGGGUUCCCGCGGCUAGACGGAAAGACCCUAUGAACCUUUACUAUAACUUUGCAGUGGCAUUAGAAAUGGCAUGUGUAGCAUAGUUGGGACCCUUUGAAGCAUCGGCGCCAGCCGGAGUGGAGGGGAAAUGUGAAAUACCAACCUUGUUAUUUCUGAUGUCUAACCGGAACAGUUAUCCUGUUUCGGGACCCUGCAUGGCGGGUAGUUUGACUGGGGCGGUCGCCUCCCAAAGUGUAACGGAGGCGCGCAAUGGUUGGCUCAAUCUGGUCGGAAAUCAGAUUUAGAGUGUAUUGGCAUAAGCCAGCCUGACUGCGAGACUGACAAGUCGAGCAGAGACGAAAGUCG